RNAcentral lists this long non-coding RNA (7423 nucleotides) under Homo sapiens (human). RNAcentral describes it as "HSALNT0286427". The record is from RNAcentral. Lineage: Eukaryota; Metazoa; Chordata; Mammalia; Primates; Hominidae.
CAGAACUUAAAGUAAAUUUUAAAAAAUAAAAAUAAAAAAUAAAUAUAAAUAUGUAAACAAUAUGGUUCUGGGACACAGUAUAGUAACAGGAACUUUAUGUUGGCAUAAUAAUCCUCAUUCAAUAAGCCUUUUUAGGAGAGUGUAACUGGCCACCAAUUUGAAGGAUUGCUUCUUCAUCCAAGAAAAGAAAUGAGGACAUGUUGUUCUCAUAAAAUGAUGGCUCCAAAUUAUUGUAUCAAGGGGUAGACUGCGUCAGCCUGAAUUUAUACCCCUAUUCUGUUUACACAAGAGGAGUCCUUGGCCUGCCAGACCCUUGGCUGCUUGCUCAAAAGAGAUGUCUGGCUGUCACCACUAUCACUUUGUCUCCAAAUAUCAACAACGCUCAUGGCCUCUCCUGGGCUGAGAUCCAAACUCCCUCCAGCAGAUCCUUCUUUAUGCAGCUUCAGCACAAGGUCUGGCUUUUCCACUUCUUCCAGCCUCAAAUGAAGUGCCAUUCCAUACACUGCAGGAUGUGACUUUCCGUGGAUUACUGGAAAUGGUGAGGUGAAACAAUCUGGAAGUUCAAGAGAGUUAAUCAGCUGAACCAAGGAAAGAGGAAAUUAUGGUUGGGAUGGAUGAAAAAGGUCCACAUACUGGUCCAGGAGGGAGGAACCAAACUGUAGUCUGCGUUUCAAUGGAGUGGAGCUGAGAAGUUCAGUCUCUCGUUGAUUCACACAAGGGACAGUUCAGUUUCUCAAGCAAAUGCACAAACAAGCCAAGUGAGAUUAAUUUGGGGAGAAAGAGGCAAUGGAAAAGAUCCUUCAGAAUGCUUUCUGAAUCAAAAUUAGGAUCCUGAACAACAACUUCCUAGGAAAAGAACCAGCUCAGAAUAAAGCAGAAGACUGUCAACUGAGCAGGAGGUUCAGGGCUGAGGAGGACUUACCAGUUUCACUCAAGAAGAAGCUUGGAGUUGGGGGGCUUUCAAUGGGCCCCUGCUGGUACCUUAGCUCUGGGUUUGGGUGACUCUUUCAGGGUUCUGAGUCUUCUCUGAGGCCCCAUAUGUAGGGUGCCAAUUAAUAUUGACUAAAAAAGCCAAACUGUAACAUAUGUGAAGAGGUUUAUUCUAAGCCAAAUAUGAGUAGCCAUGGCCCAAGGCAUGGUCUCAAGAGGUCCUGAGAACAUGUGCUCAAGGUGGUUGGGCUACAGCUUUCUUUUCUAUGUUUUAGAGAGACAUAAGACAUCAAUCAAUACAUGUGAGGUAUCCAUUGGUUUGGUCUAGAAGGGCAGGACGACUUAAAGCAGGGGAAAGUGGGUGCUUACAGGUCAUAGGAGGAUUCCAAGAUUUUCUGAUUGGCAAUUGCUUGAAAGAGUUAAGUUAUUUUCUAAAGACCUGGAAUCAAUAGAAAAGAAUGACUGGGUUAACAUAAGGGGUUGUGGAGACCAAGGUUUUUAUUACAUAGAUGAAGUCUCAUAAGUGGCUGCCCUUAGAGAUAAUAGAUAGCAAAUGUUUUCUAUUUAGACUUUUAAAAGGUGCUAGAUUCUCAGUUAAUCUCUUCAGGUUUCGGAAGGCCUGGAAGAGGAAAGAUCUAGUUAUGUUAAUGAGAUGCUUUACAGAUGCAAAUGUUUCUCAAUGGCUCUGCAGGUCCAUUUCAAAAUAGGGCCAAAAAACAUACUUUGGGGUAAAAUAUUUUUAUUUCCAUUUUUAUCAUGUGAAGUUAUACUAGAGUCAGGUUGGACUUUGGUAUCUUAUUGCUACAAAGAAUCUGUUUUGUCAGUGUUAAGAUCUGUUUUUUUUCUUUGUUUUUGUUUGUUUGUUUUGAGAAGUGGUCUCACUUUGUCACCCAGGCUGAAAUGCAGUGGCACAAUCUCAGCUCACUGCAACCUCUGCCUCCCAGGCUCAAGCGAUUCUCCUGCCUCAGCCUCCCAAGUUGCUAGGACUAAGGUGUAUGUCACCAUGCCUAGCUAAUUUUUGUAUUUUUGCAGAGACAGGAUUUCACCAUGUUGCCCAGGCUAUUCUUGAACUCCUGACUUCAAGGGAUACGCCCACCUCAGCCUCCCAAAGUGUUGACAUUAUAGGCAUGAGCCACCUCACCAGGCCAAGAUCUGUUUUAAUGUUCAUGCUGGUCAGUUAUGCCUGAAAUCCAAAUGGGAGAGGGUAUAAUGAGGCAUGUCUGACCACCUACUUCCUUCCCUUUAUGGCCUUAACUAGUUUUUCAGGUUUCUUUGGAAUCUCUUUGGCAGAAGUGUGGGAUCCAUUCAGUCAAUUGGGGGGUUAGAAUUGCAUUUUUGGUCAUGAAACUUGACCUUGAAAGUUAUUUUAUGAAUAUGAACCAUUUUCUUUUUUUUAUUAUUAUACUUUAAGUUUUGGGAUACAUGUGCAGAAUAUGCAGGUUUGUUACAUAGGUAUACACAUGCCAUGGUGGUUUGUGGCACUCAUCAACCUGCCGUCUACAUUAGGUAUUUCUUCUAAUGCUAUCCCUCCCCUAGUCCCCCACCACUGACAGGCCCCAAUGUGUGAUGUUCCCCUCCCUGUGUCCACGUGUUCUCAUUGAUCAACUCCCACUUAUGAGUGAUAACAUUCAGUGUUUGGUUUUCUGUUCCUGUGUUAGUUUGCUGAGAAUGAUGGUUUCCAGCUUCAUUCAUGUCCCUGCAAAAGACAUGAACUCAUCCUUUUUUGUGGCUGCAUAGUAUUCCAUGGUGUAUAUGUGCCACAUUUUCUGUAUCCAGUCUAUCAUCAAUGGGCAUUUAGGUUGGUUCCAAGUCUUUGCUAUUGUGAACAUUGCCGCAAUAAACAUAUGUAUACGUGUGCAUGUGUCUUUGUAGUAGAAUGAUUGAUCAUCCUUUGGGUAUAUACCCAGUAAUGGGAUUACUGGGUCAAAUGGAAUUUCUGAUUCUAGAUCCUUAAGGAAUCGACACACUCUUCCACAAUGGUUGAACUAACUUACACUCCCACCAACAAUGUAAAAGCUUUCCUAUUUCUCCACAUUAUCUCCAGCAUCUGUUGUUUCCUGACUUUUUAAUGAUUGCCAAAUACCUAAUGACUUUUUAAUGAUGGCCCCAAAUACCUAAUCCUGAUGGUAAUGGUAUUAAGAGGUAAGGCCUAUGGGAGGUGAUUUGGUCAUGAGGCUCUACCCCCAUGAAUGGGAUUAGUAUCCUUAAAAAUGUGGCCUGAGGGAGCUCUUUUACUUCUACUACCAUAUGAGGACAUAGCUAGAAGGUGCCAUCUUUGAAGCAGAGAUUGAGCCCUCAUUGUUCACCACAUUUUCUGGCACCUUAAUGUUCGAAAUCCCUGACUCCAGGACUCUCAGUAAAUUACGUUUUUAAAAACUACCCAGUCCAAGUUACAUUGUUAUAGCACCCUGAAAGAAUCAAGGUAUAAAUUGAUAGCAAGAAGUGGUGUGCUGCUCUAACAAAUACCUACAAAUGCGGAUGCAGCUUGGGAACUAGGUAAUGGGUAGAGGCCGUAAGAAUGCAAAGGAUCAGGCUAGAAAAAGCCUACAUUUCUGUGAGCAGAGUGUUAAGAGUGAUCUGGUUAUGGCUCAGAAGAGGAGAGCUGUAAACAAUGCCUAAUCUUCUUAGAGAUUUCCUAAGAGGUCAUGAACAGAAUUUUGGUAUAAAUCUGGAUGGUAAAGGCCAUUCUGAUGAAGUCUCAGGUGAAAAUGAGAAAUGUUAUCAGAAACUGGAGGAAAAGCCAUCCCUCUUAUAAAGUGGCAAAUAACCUGGCUGAACUGUGUAUGUAUCCUAGGGCUUUGCAGAAGGUAGAACUUCUGAGCAAUGAUAGUAUAGUUAGUGAAAUAAAUAUCUAAGCAAAGUGUUGAGGGUGUGUUAUGGCCUCUCUUGAAUGCUUGUAGUAAAAUACAAGAAGAUAGAAACAAAUUAAAAAGAAUUUAUAAUCAAAAGGGAAGCAGAAUGUAAAGAUCUGAAAAAUUUUCAGUGUGGCUAUGUUGUGAAGAGUUAAUGAAAAAGCAUAUUCAGAAGAGAAUACUAAAGGUAUGACCAAGCCACCAUUUGAUAAGAAGAUUAGUAGGGAUAGAAGGAAGGCAGAUGCUAUUCUGCAUGACAAUAAGAGAAUGACCCUAAAGGCAUUUCAGAGACCAUCCAGCCUGCCACUCACAUCACAGGCUCAGAAUACCAAACCUGGGGCGUAAAAUGAGGUCAAAAGAGGGACCUUGGGCAUCCAAGGAACCUCAGUGCUUGCUGCCCUGAACUACCUCAAGUCUCUGCUCCCUACAUUCUGGCACAGCAUUUUUCAGCUCCCUCUCUCAUCAGAUGUGUCUCAAAUGGGCCCAGAUGUGGUUCAGGCCACCACUCUAAAGUGCACAGGCAGUAAAAAUCUUGGCAGCAUCAACACAGUGCCAUCUCCACAGGAGCACAGAGCAAAAUGAGCUGUAGAGACAUGGCUACCUCCACCUAUAUUACUAAGGGUACUCCCAGAGAGCUGCAGGGCAUGGACAAAGAUGUCCCACAGGAAUAGGACUACAAUAAAGAGUCACCAUUGGGGCAAUGUCUAUUAAAGCCAUGGAGGGACCACCAUAAAGGCAAAGUCUGGUAAAACCAUGAGGGCAGGGCCAUCCCAGAGACCUCAGAUUGGUAAAGCCACCAGUGUGCAACUCCAGCCUAGGACAACCACAAACACAAGACUCCAACACAUGAGCACUGUGGCACGGGCUAUGCACAGAAAAGUCAUUGGGAAUGGGACCAGUUAAAGCCUUGGGGGCCCAAUCCUCAUCCAAGUGUGUGUGAAAGGCACAACACUGAGUCAAAGAAGAUUAUUCUCCAGCCUUAAGUUUUAAUAUUGUUUGUGCUCUUGGGUUUUAGACUUCCUUGAAACAUAUUACCCCUUUUCCUUUCUUCUCUCUCCCUUAUGGAAUGGGAAUUUCUAACUUAUGCCUGUCCCACCACUGUAUUUUGGAAACAUAAAACUUGUUUAACUUCAAAAGCUCAGAGUAGAAGGGGAAUUUGGCUCAGAAUGAAUGAUACCUUGAGUCUCACCCAAAUCUAACGUAGAUGAUAUUUAGAUGAGACUUUGAACUUUAAACUUUUGAGUUGAUGCAAAAACAGGUUAAGAAUUUGGGGGCUAUUGACGGGCACGGUGGCUCACGCCUGUAAUCCCAACACUUUGGGAAGCCAAGGUGGGUGGAUCACGAGGUCAGGAGUUCAAGACCAGCCUGGCCAACAUAUUGAAACCCCGUCUAUACUAAAAAUACAAAAAUUACCCAGGCAUAGUGGCACACGCCUGUAGUCCCAGCUACUCAGGAGGCUGAGGCACGAGAAUCACUUGAGCCUGGGAGGUGGAGGUUGCAGCGAGCCAAGAUUGCACCACUGCACUCCAGCCUGGGUAACAGAGUGAGACUCCGUCUCAGGAAAAAAAAAAAAAAAAAAAAAAAGAAUUUGGGGGCUAUUAGGAUAGGAUGAAUAUAUUUUGCAUGUGGGAAAGACACAAAUUUGGGGGGCCCAAGGGUGGGAAGGUAUGUUCUAAAAGUCUGUAUCCCCCAAAAUUUAUAUGUUGAAACCUAACCCCCAAGGUGAUAUUAUUAAGAGAUGUAGCCUUUGGAAGCUGAUUAGAUAAUGGAGGGUCAGUCAUACUGAAUGGGAUUAGUUCCCUAAUAAAACAGACGUGAGAGAGCUUGUCACCUCUUCUGCCAUGUGAGCAUAUAGAUAGAAGGUGCCAUCUUUGAAGCAGAGAGUGAGCCUUCAACAGAUAAUGAAUGUGCUGGGGCCUUGAUCUUGGACUUCCCAGACACCACAACUGUGAGCAGUAAGUUUUAUUAUUUAUAAAAGAUUAUAAAUCACCUAGCUAUGGUAUUUUGCUACAGCAGCCUGAAUGGACUAAAAUAAGGCUGAUAUAUUUUACUGAUAAUUUCAAAGAAUCUGUUUAAAAUUCAUUGAUUAUUAAUUUUUGGCUUUCUAUUCCUGUGAUUUCACUUUCAAAAUGAUUGAAUCAAUUCUUCUCAUUUGCUUGGAUUAAUUAUUUGUUUAUUAACAUUUGGUAAGAUUAGUUCAUUCUUUUCGGUCUUAUUACCUUAAUUUUCAAAACUGUUUUAUAUAACACUUGGUUGAGCUUAUGAUAAUAAAUAAAUAAAUAAACAUUUUAAUAAAGUCAUUAAUGGAUAAAGGCUUUCCUCUGAGAAAAGCAUCUGCAGGCAUAAUAGGAUUUGACUUGAUGUAUUUUGCCUUUAAUUAUUCUCUGGAUAUUAUGUAAGUUCCCUUUUUAUUUCCUAUUUGAGUAAAAGAGAAUCUUAAACGUGUUUAUUAAUUUCAGAUUGGAUAAGAUUUUGGUAAUGUUUCUUUACUUCCAAAUUUAUUGAAUAGACAAAUGAUAUGGAUGGAUAAAUGCUUACUAUUUUAAUACAUUAAAUGAUUUUAAGCCAAAAGACUGAUAAACCUAUUAAAAAUUCUCAUUCUUGCCGGGCACAGUGGCUCACACCUGUAAUCCCAGCACUUUAGGAGGCCAAGGUGGGCGGAUCACUUGAGGUCAGGAGUUUGAGACUAGCCUGGCCAACAUGGGGAAACCCCGUCUCUACUAAAAAAUACAAAAAUAGGCCGGCGUGGUGGCAGGCACCUGUAAUCUCACCUACUCAGGGGGCUGAGGCAGGAGAAUCACUUGAACCUGGGAGGUUGGAGGUUGCGGUGAGCCAAGAUCAGGCCACUAUACUCCAGCCUGGGCGACAGAGCCAGAAGUCCAUCUCAAAAAAAAAAAAAAAAAAACAAAACUCAUUCUCUAAUUGUGAGAUGUAAAGUGUUAUAUUUAAUACGUAAAUUGUGUUUAUUGAUUGAAUAAUUCAGUUCUUUAUGUCUUUUACAGGAAUUUAAAGACUGAUUUAUGCAUAAAACAAGAGAAUCAGAAGUAUUAAAUUUAAUCAGUGCUUAUUAUGGCAUGGUCCAUUUAUAUCAGUGUUUUUCUUUUUGAGAGUAUUUCCUUAUUUUCUGAAUCCAUGUAUAAAUAAAAGCUAUUUUCUACUAAAAAAAAACCAUGGUAACAUGGAUCAAUAAAUAAUACAGAUCAAAGCAGAACUAAACAAAAUAGAGAUGAAAAACCAACACAAAGGAUCAACAAAAUGAAAAAUUGGUUCUUUGAAAAUAUAAACAAAACUGCUGGGCGCGAUGGCUCACUCCUGUAAUCCCAGCACUUCGGGAGGCCAAGACGGGUGAAUCACUUGAGGUCAGGAGUUCGAGAUCAGCGUGGCCAAAAUGGUGAAAUCUCAUCUCUACUAGAAAUAAAAAAAGUAGCCAGGCAUGGUGGCGCACGCCUGUAAACUCAGCUACUAGGGAGGCUGAGGCACAAGAAUCGCUUGAACCCAGGAGAUGGAGGUUGCAGUGAGCCAAGAUCACACCACUGCACUCCAGCCUGGGUGACAGUUUUAUAUUUAUAUAUAUAUAUACACACACACACACACAUAUGAACCUGAUAAACCACUAGCUAGACUAACCAAGAAAAGAACAG